Molecule: ribosomal RNA, 286 nt
Filed under: Nostoc sp. 3335mG
Lineage: Bacteria; Bacillati; Cyanobacteriota; Cyanophyceae; Nostocales; Nostocaceae
Description: partial 23S ribosomal RNA
Rfam family: Bacterial large subunit ribosomal RNA
Source: RNAcentral
ACCGUGAGGGAAAGGUGAAAAGCACCCCGAUGAGGGGAGUGAAACAGUACCUGAAACGGAUUGCCUACAAGCAGUUGGAGCCCUUUUAUGGGGUGACAGCGUACCUCUUGCAUAAUGGGUCUGUGACUUAAUCUAUCAAGCAAGCUUAAGCCGUUAGGUGUAGGCGCAGCGAAAGCGAGUCUGAAUAGGGCGACAUAGUUUGAUGGAUUAGACCCGAAACCCGGCGAUCUAGGCAUGACCAGGAUGAAGGUGGGGUAACACCCACUGGAGGUCCGAACCGAUUAAC